This 336-nucleotide unclassified non-coding RNA is filed under the name soil metagenome. RNAcentral describes it as "partial contains 5.8S ribosomal RNA, internal transcribed spacer 2, and large subunit ribosomal RNA". The stretch from base 1 to 120 matches the Rfam family "5.8S ribosomal RNA", at positions 35 to 154 of the family's 154-position model. The record is from RNAcentral.
GAUGAAGAACGUAGCGAAAUGCGAUAAGUAAUGUGAAUUGCAGAAUUCAGUGAAUCAUCGAAUCUUUGAACGCACAUUGCGCCCGCCAGUAUUCUGGCGGGCAUGCCUGUUCGAGCGUCAUUUCAACCAUCAAGCCCCCGGCUUGUGUUGGGGACCUGCGGCUGCCGCAGGCCCUGAAAAGCAGUGGCGGGCUCGCUGUCACACCGAGCGUAGUAGCAUACAUCUCGCUCUGGGCGUGCUGCGGUUUCCGGCCGUUAAACCACCUUCAUAACCCAAGGUUGACCUCGGAUCAGGUAGGAAGACCCGCUGAACUUAAGCAUAUCAAUAAGCGGAGGA